AGAUUUUGAUGAUAGAUUGCUGGGGGAAUCGUCUGAACAAGGCCUGCGCUUAAUUGCGCGGCCAAUUCUUGAUUCUCUGCUAUCAGUUUUCUAUUUCUCAUCCUAAACACAAUGGAGUUUUUUCUCUAUGAACUACUUCCCUGGAGAGCUCGUCUCUCCAGUGGACAUAAACACAAACAAUAUUUUGUAUUAUGAAAAACUAUUAUACUAUAAAAUUUAAUAUUCAAAACUUUCAACAACGGAUCUCUUGGUUCUCGCAUCGAUGAAGAACGCAGCGAAUUGCGAUAUGUAUUGUGAAUUGCAGAUUUUCGUGAAUCAUCAAAUCUUUGAACGCACAUUGCGCCCUCUGGUAUUCCAGGGGGCAUGCCUGUUUGAGCGUCAUUUCUCUCUCAAACCUUUGGGUUUGGUAGUGAGUGAUACUCGUCUCGGGUUAACUUGAAAGUGGCUAGCCGUUGCCAUCUGCGUGAGCAGGGCUGCGUGUCAAGUCUAUGGACUCGACUCUUGCACAUCUACGUCUUAGGUUUGCGCCAAUUCGUGGUAAGCUUGGGUCAUAGAGACUCAUAGGUGUUAUAAAGACCCGCUGGUGUUUGUCUCCUUGAGGCAUACGGCUUUAACCAAAACUCUCAAAGUUUGACCUCAAAUCAGGUAGGGGUACCCGCUGAACUUAAGCAUAUCAAUAAGCGGAGGAAAAGAAACCAACCGGGAUUGCCUUAGUAACGGCGAGUGAAGCGGCAAAAGCUCAAAUUUGAAAUCUGGCGUCUUCGACGUCCGAGUUGUAAUUUUGAAGAAGGCGACUUUUGUAGCUGGUCCUUGUCUAUGUUCCUUGGAACAGGACGUCAUAGAGGGUGAGAAUCCCGUGUGGCGAGGAUCCCAGUUAUUUGUAAAGUGCUUUCGACGAGUCGAGUUGUUUGGGAUGCAGCUCUAAGUGGGGUGGUAAAUUCCAUCUAAAGCUAAAUAUUGGCGAGAGACCGAUAGCGACAGUAAGUGAUGGAA
RNAcentral lists this ribosomal RNA (993 nucleotides) under Kluyveromyces marxianus. Its description in RNAcentral is "eukaryotic LSU rRNA". The stretch from base 632 to 993 matches the Rfam family "Eukaryotic large subunit ribosomal RNA", at positions 1 to 361 of the family's 3401-position model. The record is from RNAcentral. Lineage: Eukaryota; Fungi; Ascomycota; Saccharomycetes; Saccharomycetales; Saccharomycetaceae.